Molecule: ribosomal RNA, 1539 nt
Filed under: Escherichia coli
Lineage: Bacteria; Pseudomonadati; Pseudomonadota; Gammaproteobacteria; Enterobacterales; Enterobacteriaceae
Description: bacterial SSU rRNA
Rfam family: Bacterial small subunit ribosomal RNA
Source: RNAcentral
AAAUUGAAGAGUUUGAUCAUGGCUCAGAUUGAACGCUGGCGGCAGGCCUAACACAUGCAAGUCGAACGGUAACAGGAAACAGCUUGCUGUUUCGCUGACGAGUGGCGGACGGGUGAGUAAUGUCUGGGAAACUGCCUGAUGGAGGGGAUAACUACUGGAAACGGUAGCUAAUACCGCAUAACGUCGCAAGACCAAAGAGGGGGACCUUCCGGGCCUCUUGCCAUCGGAUGUGCCCAGAUGGGAUUAGCUAGUAGGUGGGGUAACGGCUCACCUAGGCGACGAUCCCUAGCUGGUCUGAGAGGAUGACCAGCCACACUGGAACUGAGACACGGUCCAGACUCCUACGGGAGGCAGCAGUGGGGAAUAUUGCACAAUGGGCGCAAGCCUGAUGCAGCCAUGCCGCGUGUAUGAAGAAGGCCUUCGGGUUGUAAAAGUACUUUCAGCGGGGAGGAAGGGAGUAAAGUUAAUACCUUUGCUCAUUGACGUUACCCGCAGAAGAAGCACCGGCUAACUCCGUGCCAGCAGCCGCGGUAAUACGGAGGGUGCAAGCGUUAAUCGGAAUUACUGGGCGUAAAGCGCACGCAGGCGGUUUGUUAAGUCAGAUGUGAAAUCCCCGGGCUCAACCUGGGAACUGCAUCUGAUACUGGCAAGCUUGAGUCUCGUAGAGGGGGUAGAAUUCAGGUGUAGCGGUGAAAUGCGUAGAGAUCUGGAGGAAUACCGGUGGCGAAGGCGGCCCCUGGACGAAGACUGACGCUCAGGUGCGAAAGCGUGGGGAGCAAACAGGAUUAGAUACCCUGGUAGUCCACGCCGUAAACGAUGUCGACUUGGAGGUUGUGCCCUUGAGGCGUGGCUUCCGGAGCUAACGCGUUAAGUCGACCGCCUGGGGAGUACGGCCGCAAGGUUAAAACUCAAAUGAAUUGACGGGGGCCCGCACAAGCGGUGGAGCAUGUGGUUUAAUUCGAUGCAACGCGAAGAACCUUACCUGGUCUUGACAUCCACGGAAGUUUUCAGAGAUGAGAAUGUGCCUUCGGGAACCGUGAGACAGGUGCUGCAUGGCUGUCGUCAGCUCGUGUUGUGAAAUGUUGGGUUAAGUCCCGCAACGAGCGCAACCCUUAUCCUUUGUUGCCAGCGGUCCGGCCGGGAACUCAAAGGAGACUGCCAGUGAUAAACUGGAGGAAGGUGGGGAUGACGUCAAGUCAUCAUGGCCCUCUACGACCAGGGCUACACACGUGCUACAAUGGCGCAUACAAAGAGAAGCGACCUCGCGAGAGCAAGCGGACCUCAUAAAGUGCGUCGUAGUCCGGAUUGGAGUCUGCAACUCGACUCCAUGAAGUCGGAAUCGCUAGUAAUCGUGGAUCAGAAUGCCACGGUGAAUACGUUCCCGGGCCUUGUACACACCGCCCGUCACACCAUGGGAGUGGGUUGCAAAAGAAUAGGUAGCUUAACCUUCGGGAGGGCGCUUACCACUUUGUGAUUCAUGACUGGGGUGAAGUCGUAACAAGGUAACCGUAGGGAACCUGCGGUUGGAUCACCUCCUUA